RNAcentral lists this ribosomal RNA (253 nucleotides) under uncultured bacterium. RNAcentral's name for it is "partial 16S ribosomal RNA". It matches the Rfam family "Bacterial small subunit ribosomal RNA", at positions 524 to 776 of the family's 1533-position model. The record is from RNAcentral.
UACGUAGGGGGCAAGCGUUGUCCGGAAUCAUUGGGCGUAAAGAGCGCGUAGGCGGCCCGAUAAGUCCGCUGUGAAAGUCAAGGGCUCAACCCUUGAAUGCCGGUGGAUACUGUCGGGCUAGAGUCCGGAAGAGGCGAGUGGAAUUCCUGGUGUAGCGGUGAAAUGCGCAGAUAUCAGGAGGAACACCGGUGGCGAAGGCGGGUCUCUGGGCCGUAACUGACGCUGAGGAGCGAAAGCAUGGGGAGCGAACAGG